CCUACGGGUGGCAGCAGUGGGGGAUAUUGCACAAUGGGGGGAACCCUGAUGCAGCGACGCCGCGUGGGUGAAGGAGUGCUUCGGCAUGUAAAGCCCUAUCGGCAGGGAAGAAGCAAGACGGUACCUGACUAAGAAGCCCCGGCUAACUACGUGCCAGCAGCCGCGGUAAUACGUAGGGGGCGAGCGUUAUCCGGAUCCACUGGGUGGAAAGGGCGCGUAGACGGCCAUGCAAUCCAGGGGUGAAACCCCGGGGCCCAACCCCCGCACUGCCCUUUGCCAUGUUCGGCUAGAGUGCGGGAGGGGCAGGCGGAAUUCCUGGUGUAGCGGUGAAAUGCGUAGAUAUCAGGAGGAACACCGGCGGCGAAGGCGGCCUGCUGGACCGCGACUGACGUUGAGGCUCGAAAGCGUGGGGAGCGAACAGGAUUAGAUACCCCAGUAGUC
RNAcentral lists this ribosomal RNA (441 nucleotides) under uncultured bacterium. RNAcentral describes it as "partial 16S ribosomal RNA". It matches the Rfam family "Bacterial small subunit ribosomal RNA", at positions 338 to 795 of the family's 1533-position model. The record is from RNAcentral.